Molecule: ribosomal RNA, 433 nt
Filed under: uncultured Lachnospiraceae bacterium
Lineage: Bacteria; Bacillati; Bacillota; Clostridia; Lachnospirales; Lachnospiraceae
Description: partial 16S ribosomal RNA
Rfam family: Bacterial small subunit ribosomal RNA
Source: RNAcentral
ACGGAAGGCAGCAGUGGGGAAUAUUGCACAAUGGGGGAAACCCUGAUGCAGCGACGCCGCGUGAGUGAAGAAGUAUUUCGGUAUGUAAAGCUCUAUCAGCAAGGAAGAAAAUGACGGUACUUGACUAAGAAGCCCCGGCUAACUACGUGCCAGCAGCCGCGGUAAUACGUAGGGGGCAAGCGUUAUCCGGAUUUACUGGUGUAAAGGGAGCGUAGACGGUAAUGCAAGUCAGAAGUGAAAGCCCAAGGCUCAACCAUGGGACUGCUUUUGAAACUGUAAUACUAGAGUGCAGGAGAGGUAAGUGGAAUUCCUAGUGUAGCGGUGAAAUGCGUAGAUAUUAGGAGGAACACCAGUGGCGAAGGCGGCUUACUGGACUGUAACUGACGUUGAGGCUCGAAAGCGUGGGGAGCAAACAGGAUUAGAUACCCUGGUA